CAAAAGGUCAGGGGUGAACCUGGAUGCAUGACAACGGGCUGACAGGCUCAGUUGCUAAGGGGAUAGGUGACAAGGUGGCACGGACGUAGGGUGACAAGGUGAUGGCAUGAGGUGACAGAAAAGUUACCAGCAGUAAACAUCCUUCCUGUUUGCUCUCUUUGCUCUGAGUCACAGCCGUGACGUGCUGAAACAGCCAAGGGGGAGGUGAACAUACUCCUGUUGGCAGUUAAGGAGAACCAAGGGGAGGAAAUGAAAGGUUCUACCCCGAACCCCCACCCUCACCUCUCCUCAGGCCUUACUGCCACAUCCACUGCACAUCCUCUGCUCCCUUCCGGGCCCCCAGCUCUGGAGCCUCACAAAGGAGCCCGAACAAGAGAAAAGAAAGAGCCAGUGCCACUUGGACGGGAUUACAUCCCAGUAAGAUUCUUCCACCCUCUUGGCCAGCCGCCCCUUAACCCUCCCCUUCCCUGAUUAGAAAGUGAGCAGGGAAAGGCUGGCUGCAUAUAGAAAAAGGGUCCACACAUGUCCAAUGAAGUGUUGCACUGUUGUAAGGAGUAGACUUACUGAGAGUCGUGUCAGUCUGGUCUUAUCAGAAAUCCUGCUGCUGAAGUUAAUGUAAAGUUCCUGGCUUAUUUUUUACCACAAAUGCAACACUGAGCAGAGAUCAAAUUAAAACACCUUGUUCAAUUGUUUAAUUUAGUCUUAUCAAAAUCAAGGAUAAUUGUUCCAUGAUACUCGUUAAAUUCACUUUUUACCAGAUAAAGUUUUCAAAUUACAGAAUGUAUCUAGGCCCCUCGUGUAAGCUUUGAUUUUUACAUGCCCUGACAUACCCAGGAUUCAGUCUUUGAGCUUCAGGAACAUCAUGGCUCUCGUGUCCUUUUGUAUGUGUAUUUGCAUAUGUAUGUAUACAUCUAUCUAUAUAUAUACAUGUUUUAUAUUUUUAUAUUCCAUAUUUUAUAUCGGCUCCUUAAAGGAAUUCUGCUGGCCAUCACCGUACAGGAAGAACCCCAAGAGCUCUCU
Molecule: long non-coding RNA, 1020 nt
Organism: Notolabrus celidotus (New Zealand spotty)
Lineage: Eukaryota; Metazoa; Chordata; Actinopteri; Labriformes; Labridae
Exons: 3
Source: RefSeq, a predicted model, not a curated record